This 1083-nucleotide long non-coding RNA is filed under the name Felis catus (domestic cat). Its description in RNAcentral is "lncRNA (ENSFCAG00000050659.1)". The record is from RNAcentral. Lineage: Eukaryota; Metazoa; Chordata; Mammalia; Carnivora; Felidae.
GAUGAGCUAAGAAGAGCCAGUGAGAUUAAAGUAGACUGUGAGCCUUUGGCGGACUUCUCACAAGAACAGGAACUUGAGGAGGCAGAGUGGUGAUGAAAACCGAUCAUUUGAUCUAUCACAAUAUGUUCACUAAAUAUCGAUUGAGUGUCCACUGAUGCAUGGCACUGGAAAACCAUUCCAAAAAGAUAGAGCCAUUAACAAAAAGGGGCCUUACCUGUUCAAUACGUAUGCUAAUUAAUGGUCACAGCUGCAGCCUGGACAUCCUCCUAAAGAAUGCAGAAGGACCUGGAACCUAACCGAGCUUCGGGGAAGACACAGCCUGACUGAUACUUUGGUAGACUGGUUCCUGAUGACUAUCACACAACUCUAGUCCUCAAGCCAUCUAUGAUCUGGAAAUCAUGAAAACAAGCCUGGAACUUUCUUCAGAAUUCCCAAAUUGUGUUUCAUAAAACUCUAGUGUCUUACAAAAUGUACAUGGUGUGCCACACGCCAAAAACGUUUAUAGGAAAAAAACCUAGGUGAAAACAGUAGUCCUCUCUUACAGAUGCCCAGCAAAAAAUAGCAUACUGAACUUCAGAAAAGUUCUACAGUAAAGAUAUGCCUUUAACCCAUAAUAUCCUAAUUUUAAGUGACCACCCUCUCUCCAAGGCACCAAUUAACAGCUUUAGUGGGCUAAGUCCAAGGAGCACAGCUUGAGAAAUUCUGCUGAAUAAUAUUAUUGAUGACUAGUCAAAAGCCAGAAAACUCAUUUUAACUUGCUCACCCUUGUCAUUAGAGAAUGGCCCAUCCCAGCCAACUUCAAUGAAGGGACAAAGCCUAAAAGCUGUGGGGGAAGUUUUAAAGUAAGUUUUGAAGUGAAAUGUUAAAGUACAGAUUGUAGUUUAAAGUGUAUUCAGGAUUAUGGGUAUGUGUGCUGUUGAAUUUUUCUUAUAACUUUAAAAUAUUACCUGUAAAUAUAGUAUCUAAUAUGUUAACCAGCAAGACAUCUGCUCUGUAUGGCAAAAAUUAUACAACUGAAUUCACUGUUUUCUCAUUCUGUAAUCUAAAAAUAAAUAAGGAAGACAGUAUAAAAGCGAGGAGAUC